GCGCUGGCUUCGGCAGCACAUAUGCUAAAAUCAGGAUGAUGCAGAGAAGAUUGGCAUGGCCCCUGCACAAAGAUGACGUACAAAUGCCUGAGUUACACACUCGUAGC
Small nuclear RNA from Hyaena hyaena (striped hyena), 107 nucleotides. The record is from RefSeq and is a predicted model, not a curated record. NCBI's taxonomy places the organism in Eukaryota, Metazoa, Chordata, Mammalia, Carnivora, Hyaenidae.